GGGCCAAUAGCUCAGUUAGCAGAGCACAGUGCUGAUAACGCUGGGGUCAGAGGUGCAAUUCCUCUUUGGCCCA
Molecule: transfer RNA, 73 nt
Filed under: Candidatus Omnitrophota bacterium
Lineage: Bacteria; Pseudomonadati; Candidatus Omnitrophota
Description: Candidatus Omnitrophica bacterium (groundwater metagenome) tRNA-Ile
Rfam family: tRNA
About the family: Transfer RNA (tRNA) molecules are approximately 80 nucleotides in length. Their secondary structure includes four short double-helical elements and three loops (D, anti-codon, and T loops).
Source: RNAcentral